CGGAGGGAAUGAGCUAGUGA
Molecule: non-coding RNA, 20 nt
Filed under: Arabidopsis thaliana (thale cress)
Lineage: Eukaryota; Viridiplantae; Streptophyta; Magnoliopsida; Brassicales; Brassicaceae
Source: RNAcentral